RNAcentral lists this ribosomal RNA (871 nucleotides) under uncultured bacterium. RNAcentral describes it as "bacterial SSU rRNA". It matches the Rfam family "Bacterial small subunit ribosomal RNA", at positions 50 to 897 of the family's 1533-position model. The record is from RNAcentral.
AACACAUGCAAGUCGAACGGGGUGUUUAUUUCGGUAAACACCAAGUGGCGAACGGGUGAGUAACGCGUAAGCAAUCUACCUUCAAGAUGGGGACAACACUUCGAAAGGGGUGCUAAUACCGAAUGAAUGUAAGAGUAUCGCAUGAGACACUUACUAAAGGAGGCCUCUGACAUAAGCUUCCGCUUGAAGAUGAGCUUGCGUCUGAUUAGCUAGUUGGUGAGGGUAAAGGCCCACCAAGGCGACGAUCAGUAGCCGGUCUGAGAGGAUGAACGGCCACAUUGGGACUGAGACACGGCCCAGACUCCUACGGGAGGCAGCAGUGGGGAAUCUUCCGCAAUGGGCGAAAGCCUGACGGAGCAACGCCGCGUGAACGAAGAAGGUCUUAGGAUCGUAAAGUUCUGUUGUUAGGGACGAAGGGUAAGAAUCAUAAUAAGGUUUUUAUUUGACGGUACCUAACGAGGAAGCCACGGCUAACUACGUGCCAGCAGCCGCGGUAAUACGUAGGCGGCAAGCGUUGUCCGGAAUUAUUGGGCGUAAAGGGAGCGCAGGCGGGAAACUAAGCGGAUCUUAAAAGUGCGGGGCUCAACCCCGUGAUGGGGUCCGAACUGGUUUUCUUGAGUGCAGGAGAGGAAAGCGGAAUUCCCAGUGUAGCGGUGAAAUGCGUAGAUAUUGGGAAGAACACCAGUGGCGAAGGCGGCUUUCUGGACUGUAACUGACGCUGAGGCUCGAAAGCUAGGGUAGCGAACGGGAUUAGAUACCCCGGUAGUCCUAGCCGUAAACGAUGGAUACUAGGUGUGGGAGGUAUCGACCCCUUCCGUGCCGGAGUUAACGCAAUAAGUAUCCCGCCUGGGGAGUACGGCCGCAAGGUUGA